RNAcentral lists this unclassified non-coding RNA (264 nucleotides) under Hevea brasiliensis (rubber tree). Lineage: Eukaryota; Viridiplantae; Streptophyta; Magnoliopsida; Malpighiales; Euphorbiaceae. The record is from RNAcentral.
UGCUCUGAAAAUUCAACUUUAUAGCUCUGACGGUUCUUAAAGUAGCAUUUAGUUAUUUGUCUGCUGUGGAAAAGAUAAAUUGUUGUAAGAAAUGGGGAGCAGACGCCAUUGUGUGUAUAUAUCCCAUGAUUGUAGCAAAUGUCAGUGAUAAUUCAACUUUUAGUGUUUUUUUUUUUUUUUUUUUUUUUAAGNNNNNNNNNUUUUGUACUACGAACGGCUUUUGUAAAAUAUGUUCCAUAUGAAUGCAUUGAUUCUAAAUUAUUU